This 1782-nucleotide long non-coding RNA is filed under the name Lactuca sativa (garden lettuce). Its description in RNAcentral is "long non-coding RNA (LSAT_LNC008398)". Lineage: Eukaryota; Viridiplantae; Streptophyta; Magnoliopsida; Asterales; Asteraceae. The record is from RNAcentral.
CUCACCACUUAUCCCUUUGCUCCCCAACUUUAAUUCUUUUCAUUUUUUCUUCUAAACUUGCUAUAAAUUUUGUCAUUCCAUGAUUCCAUCUCACAACUCUAGAGUUUUAUUUACAGAACACAAUAAUUAAACAGAUCGGGUUAAGGUCAAACUCUUUAAACCCAUUUAAUGUCUUUAAUCGAUACAAAGCCGACACAACAUGUUUGUCACGUCUAGCCACAUACAAGUUUUUCACUAAAACAUUAAUACAUUUAUCGAUCUCUAUUGAUAACCGAAUUUUCUUAUUUUUUGAAUUCUAACUUGAAAUCGUCCACCAUAAAUCAUACCUACAACUUGUCACCAAGUAUAAGCUAUUAUCAUAAGUAGAUAAUGAUGACCCUUAAUUUUUAUAUAUUAGAGCAAGAGCUAAAAAUUAACUUUGUUUUAUGCUUUCAUAUACACCAAUUUCUCAGGUAAUCUCUUAUUUGUUUAAAAUUCUUGCUUUUGAUUCAAGACCCAUCCAGUUAUUUUGAGAUCAAUGACUUCAAUAUUGUCCAAGAAAGAUUUCAAACAAGUAAGAGAGGUUACUAGAGAAUGAAACUUCUUGCAUAAGAAAGCAUACAAGGUUAUUUUCUAAUACCAGUUCCAACCUCUUAAAAUUCAAGGUGCUAAUCAUCUAACCACGACUUCUAAACUUCAAUAACUAUUAUCAAUGUGUCUCCAUUGACAAUACAUCAUAGAUGAUAGGAAAUUCUAAAUACAAUUCACAAAAAACCUGACAUAAGAGUAACUGGUGGAAAAAGAUAUUAUCAGUUUCAAAUUGAAAUUUUAAAAUUCAGAGAGCCAUGUGAAAAUGAAUUCCAAUAAAGUAUCAAUUUUGAAUAAACUAAUUUAGGGUUGGUUUUUAUUUUGGGAUCACGACUAUAUAACAAAGCUGACGCCUAGUAAACAUUGCAUCGAUACCUAAUCUUAUCACAACAAGUUAAAUAAUUUUUUUAACAGUUAAACUUGAACUUUAUCACUAAAUUAAAUAGAUUUAUUACAUUUUAUAUUUAAAUAAAAGAAAAUCUAAACUAUAGUUGUUUUUCUUGAGUUCGAAAAAAUGCCAGUGAGAUUAAUAACUCUCCAGUUAUCACCUCCGGCAAAACAUAUUUCGGUUAACAGCCAUUGAAAACAAAAGCAUUGAAGAAUUUAAUGAUACUAUCGUCCAAAUAAAACAUCAUUUUGAAACUAGUAUCAGAAACCAAGUCUGUUUUUAAAACUCAUGGUUAAUUUAUGUAAUCCAAUUAUGGUCCAGAUUGACCAAAGAGAUCAUACAGACAAUAUAAACUGGAAAACAAUUAACUCUCGCAAACGAAGAAAUUGCCUCAAAACAUUUCCAAUAGGAGUUUAGGGACAGAGUGCGUUUGCUUUUAAAAAUCAAUGCAUUUUGCUAUAAUAAAAAUGAUAAAGAAUAUACCAGUAAUAUAAGGGCCUGAAAAAUCAGUAAUCAGAAUCAGGCGAGUGAUACCGGUUGAGAUUAAAUAUCGCAAGUUUGAGUAAAUUUAUCUGACUGGAUCGUUAAAACCGAAAUCCAACCAAGAAGCUGACUUGCUUUUGAAACAAUCGUAAAAUUUUGAUCUACAGUAUUCAAUUACAGACCUAGUAAGAUACAAUUAGAGGUUUACCUAUGAUAAUGAGCAUGUUGAUGAUGAAAAUGUCGAAGAGGCGACUGCAGGUAUUUGAAGGAAAUUUUAGGGUUUGCACGUACUUUUCAUUUAACCGGUCAAGUCCCCUCCUCACGCAGCCCAUUACAACGGCCCG